This 877-nucleotide long non-coding RNA is filed under the name Marmota monax (woodchuck). Lineage: Eukaryota; Metazoa; Chordata; Mammalia; Rodentia; Sciuridae. The record is from RNAcentral.
AGUAGAGGGUGGUCUCUGCUUGUAAUCAGGCUUCAUGGCUCGCCUGGGGAUGUGGCUCGGCCUAAGAACACUUCCUAGCUGAGGGCCCCGGGCCCGAGAUGCAUCCCCAGCACCACAAUAAGACACUGGAAAAUAAACCCACGUCAUGGCUCCUCCGAGGAAGCCUGUUCAGACAGUGGUGGGAUUAGUAUGCUCCACUGGAGCGGAGGUGUGGCCUUCUGAUGUCAAAAGGUGGAGGUCAUAUACCCGCACAGACCCACAGGAAGGAGCAGUGGUUCCAACAAGUUUAAACUACCUCUAAGUUCCUGAAAACCACCUAGGCCACCUCUGCCGUGGUGAGCGGCCAACAGGGGGAGUUGCGGUGUUCCACAAAGCAAGCUGCAAAGUCUCCCAGAAGCUGAGGUCCCAGUGAGCAGUGUCCAGAGGUGAGGCUUGGGAAGUGGUCAGAGUCAGAUCAUGCAGGCUUUGGCUUCACCAGAUUAAUCCAUGGAGGGAUUUAUAACUGAAUGGAAUGUUGGAGGUGGUGAAAAACAUUGAUGGUGGGACCUAGUUGGAGGAAAAAUAGGUCACCAGGAUGUGUUUUGGAAGGGCACCCGUACGUGCACACUUACAUAUAUGUAUAUAUACACACAUAUUUAAAUAUAUAUAUUUAAAUAAUAAUUUUGGGGGGUAAUAGAGAUUUAACCGAGGAGUGCUUUACCACUGAGCCACAACCCUAGCACUUUUUUGAGACAGGGUCUUGUUAAGUUGCUUAGGUUCUUGUUAAAUUGCUGAGGCUGGCUUUGAAUUUUCAGUUUUCCUGCCUCAGCCUCCCAAGUCACUGAGAUCACAGGCAUGCACCACCACGCCUGGCUGGAAGGGUAUAUCUUGUCCCUGG